Molecule: long non-coding RNA, 1053 nt
Organism: Xyrauchen texanus (razorback sucker)
Lineage: Eukaryota; Metazoa; Chordata; Actinopteri; Cypriniformes; Catostomidae
Exons: 3
Source: RefSeq, a predicted model, not a curated record
AGACAAGAGGCCGUAUUUUUAAUGGAUGAGGAAAUGCUUCAGUACGCUGAAUAAACUGCUUUUGUGAGGAACAGCUCAUUACUUAAUUAAUUGACUGUCGGUCUGCUAAUCUUCAACAUAUUUUACACUAAACAAUUAUUUUGUAAUGAACUAUGUGUGGAGUUUACAACGAUAAAAUUGUUGCUUUAUAAGAGAAAACGUAGACAAUUUUACGACAGAUAGGUGUCCGUUUACGGCUCUCACGAUUCGUUUAAAUGGUAUCCACAAACGGUGACUUUACUGUCGUAACACACUACUUGGCUAUUACGUUCUCUAUAUUAAAAAACGAGGAGGUUGUUAUAGACUAUGUGUAGAAGAUCUCUGGUUACCAUUUUAUCCAUCAGCUCACACAGUUCAUAAGACGUUUGCACGUGAUUGUAGAGUGUGACGCACGUACGAGCGAUUCCAUUUAUUUCCACAGACCAGAUUUAUUCACGAAAGCAUAAUAAACUCGUUGGAAUUGAGGUGGGAAAUAAUGGAGAAGUGUGACUGUUCUAAAUCUGGAUCUUGUAACUGCGGGCAAAACUGCAAAUGCACGAAUUGCACAAGCUCACAAUGCAAGAAAAGUUGCUGUGGCACGGCAUCCGGGUGCAGUAAGGACACCAAGGGCUGUGAGAGCGCGUGCAAGGACAAGGACAAGGACAAAUCGUGCCAAACUCGCUGCAAAUGAAAAUGUGUGAUGUGGCGCUGUGAAACCUUCAAUAAAAGCAAAUUAUAACACAUACUUUGCUAUUUUUACUGAUUCGUGAUACAUAUUUGCCAACCCUAUUUGCAUUUAAUUGUAGGCCUACGUGUAAAUGUAACGGGAUAAAUGGGAGAGAGGAAAACAACUUCCAAUUUAUUUAGUAGGUUAUGAAAACCGGGUAUACCCACUGAUCUAUAUAUAUAUACCACAAGAAUCAAAAUAUAAGCAAGUGUGCCUUAAAGAAUCUGUAGAAUUCUGACAAAGUUACAGGACUAGAUGAGAUGAGAUUUAUCAGGGAAACAGAAGACAAUAAAAGUGCCUUUAAAUCU